UUCUCCGUCUCUCCUAAUACUCCUAUAUAUGUUUUCCCUCUCUUUGUUCCACCUCACUUGCUGGCAUCCAAGGAGGACCACCGCGUGUGGCCACCUCUAUGACACCAGCCCCGGGCGUAGCCAUUCCACCUCACCCGGAUUGUAGCGAAUGUGGAGCCAAGGAGAAUGACGUGGAUCUCGCGUUGAGCUUUCUCGUCAAUCCUACCAGGGAAAGCGUCAUCAAUGGAGCCAGUGCUAGAAAUGGGAAGCCCCAGCUGAGAAAAUAAACUGAAACAUUUCGCUUGGAGUAUUGGGUAUUUUAGUCACUUUCUUGAGUAUCUCAAUAUAUACCCUUAGUGCUGAUCAACCUGGGUUACGCAAUUUUUCAUUGUUUCUGUAUUGGUGUGAGAUAACUAGAGAGAAGUAAGCUUGAGGGUUCUGGGUUUUGAGUUCAAGAACUGAAGAUUGUACUCGUGAGGCUUAUGUGUGAUUCCAAGGAGUGUAAUUCAUAUUUCAGAUUAGUGAAUUGGACUAAGGCAUUGCUGCCUUGUCUUGGAUGUAGGGUUAAUGUCAUUAAUUGAUUCCGAACCAAGUAUAUGGUGUUUACAGUCA
Humulus lupulus (European hop) is the source of this 591-nucleotide long non-coding RNA. RefSeq lists it as uncharacterized. The record is from RefSeq and is a predicted model, not a curated record. The transcript has 2 exons. Lineage: Eukaryota; Viridiplantae; Streptophyta; Magnoliopsida; Rosales; Cannabaceae.